This 4724-nucleotide long non-coding RNA is filed under the name Sus scrofa (pig). RNAcentral describes it as "lncRNA (ENSSSCG00000057800.1)". The record is from RNAcentral. Lineage: Eukaryota; Metazoa; Chordata; Mammalia; Artiodactyla; Suidae.
CAUGACAGGAACUCCUAAACAAACGUCUAAUCACAAAUAGGUCAUCCUUCCCACAGUGCCAGGAUAAAUAUCCUUACAACUCUAACCAGUGGAUUCUCAUCAGAGUCCCAGAAAUUCUUCUAUAAUGCCUACUGAAAUGAAGCACGAUGUUGUGUUGGCUAAUUAUGAGCACUGAUUUCCUUUCUAUAUAACUUUCACAAGCGGAUUCUAGAGCACAUUCUAUCACUUCCUAGUGAUUUUUCUUAUCAGUUUGUUAAGCCAAACAAAAGUCCCUAAAAUAAAAAUUAGUACCUUUCAUAUAGACUGCUGUGAUUUUGAUUCAGCACAGUCCUAAACAAAAAAGAACUAAGUUCGUGGAAGACAGUGUUUGGCUUAACUACAAACACAUCCUUUAGCUCUAUCACAUAUAUCCAUCUGUAAAUUUCAGCAUUAUUCCCCAGUUGAGGUUUGCAAAACUGCGAAUUUAUCAGAAUCUUUCCUGAGGGGCUACUGAUUCAUGUCUAAAUUAUUUCAAAUAUUUUAAUGAUUAAAUUUCAAAUCACUAAAAUGAAUUGAAUUGUAGUAAGUCACAUUUAAACAAAAUAUGUCAAAAAAUCAUUUAAAAUAAAUUUUCUCAUAUUACAGACCUCUGUUUUUCAGUUUUUAUUUUAUACACAAUGAAGUAUUUUAUUUUUUCUUCUAAAUAAUACCAUGAGACAUGUGAAAUAUAAGUGAAAAAAACUGAAUUAUAUUUAGGUAACAAACAAUCCUCAAAUAUAAGAGGUUUAUAAUACCAAAAAUUUAUUUUUAGCUCAUAUAAAGACCACUUCAAGUCCAAACAGCUCUCAAGAGUAGCCAUGCUCCUGAGUUAGUUUAGCAUUCCCAAUAGCUUUAAACUUCUGAAACCUCUUAUCAACACAUUUUAUUUCACUAUCACCUUAGUAGGGUGAAGCGUGACCAGAAGAGUGGAAUAUCAGCAAUCAAAUGUCUCUUCCCAGAAGUGACAAAUGUCAUUUCUGCCAAUCAUCAUAUCUACCCAAAUUUCAUUGUGCAAAGAGGGUCACAUGGCCUCUCCUAACUUCAAGGAGAUGGAGACAUAAUAUGUCCUUGGUGUGACCAAAGGGAGAGAUGAACCAGAUUGAUGCUAGAGAGUUACAACAAUACAAACCAUCUAAUAUAAAGCUAUCAAGAAACUAACAUUUGUUUACAAGCUACCAAAGGCCAGAACUGACUAGCACACCUCUCUCAUUUGUUAAUUGAGGAGGUGCUCCAAAAAAGUGUUUUGGCAUAUUAUCUCUAUUUUGCAAAAGCCAACAAAUAAUAAUAAAUUAAAAAAAACCUUGUACCUCAAACCUGCCCCCAAAAGAUAGAAGGCAUUUAACUCAUGGAUUCUUAUUCCAAGGUCUGCGAUCUUUGUACACAAUCAUGUUGCCUUUGAAUAUUUCCGCAAACUUAUAAAUAAUAGAUUAAUAAGUAUUAUUGUUUAAUCACUUAAAAAAGCCGCGAAGAAAUUGUGUCUUGAAGCUAUAGAUUUCGUCUCUCUUCUUGAUAACAAGAAUUAUGAAAGUAUUAUAUGAAUUUAGUUGACUAUCACAACUAUCUGAUUCACAUGGAAUUGAGGAAAUCUCCAUAUUUUGUCUUAACUUUUUGAGUGUUCUGAAUCUUCUCUUUCAGAAGUUAUAUAAACAUCUGACUUACUGGCUAAAAAUUCAUCUUUUUGUGUAUUUCAUCCCUCAAUGGUCAUAAGAAUUAAAAAUGGAGCCCAGUUCAGCAUAAAAUGUGAAUCUAGUUACAUGAGCCUUUUUUAAAGCUCAAUGAUAAGUAAAGAGCAUUCAUACCCAUUGAAUAUCUUAUCUCAGUGUUUCAAUGCAGUUAGGAUGAUGGUCUUGCAAGAGAGAUUAUUCAACAUGCUCUAUAGAUUUUAUUUUUAAGUUGAAAAAGUAACCUGCAAUAUGGCAAGGAUAAUGGUUUCUAUAUACACUCGAAGCAGUCAGUAGCUCUAUAAAAAGCCAAGGAAUUCAUUGCCCCUUUCUUCCCAAAAUGACUAUUAUAAUUCUGUAAAAACCUGAACUGACAAUGGAUUUAGUUUGCAUAUAUUAAUAUUCACCCAAAUUGUCUAUUUUGAAUAUUAAAUAAAUAAGCAUAAGAUUUGUGCAUAUGAACAAGUUCUUUCUGAGUUGCUGAAAUUCUUGAAUAAGUCCACCAAUUGUACCUCCCUUUUUCUGCAUCAGACUAUGUCUAGGAGAGGUGAAGAAGGGAAGAAUAUGCAAAAAUUGCACACAAUAAAAUAAUAUUUCUUCAACUUUAAAACUCUGGAAGAUAACUUAUUUUAAAUAAAACAUUAAUAAAUUAGGUUUUUCUAAUUGUUUUUAUAAGCAUUGGUUUUCUAGAAAUGCUCUUGCUAAAUGUGCUCAGAAAUGAAAAAACAUUCCUAUUAAGCAUAAUUAUUAAUAUCAAAAAUCAUGAGAGAUAAAAAUAGAUAAAGAAUUUUUAAGGUGGUGAAUAUUUGUAAGGAAUUUUAGCAAACUUUCAAAUGAAUCAGGUUGAAAGAUUGUUGGCAAUUCACAAUUGAUUCAAACCAAAUAUUUGAUGUAAUGUACAGAAUAUAGCCUAUAUCCCCAGUGAAACUGGAGGAUUAAGCUUCUUCACAGACGCCUAAAGACUGAAUUAAUCAGUUAAAAUAACAUGAAAUAAAAACAAUGAGUCAUGGAAUUUUAAUAAAAAAUAUUUAAAGGAUAUAUAUAUGUGUGUGUGUGUGAAAUUUAUCAAUCAUUCUCUCAGAAUCAUUCUCUUAGAAUCAUUGAGCUGUAUGUAUUGCUAUCAUUCAUUAUGUAUUGAAUAGUUGCCAGGCAUGAUUUCUAACCUUCCCAACAACUUUGGAAGUUAACUGUUACUAUUCUCACUAACGAAUAUUACCUGACUGAGGCUCAGAAAUGUAAAUUGGUAUACAUAUGGUUGGUAGUGGAGCAGAGAUUCAAACACAUUUCUGAGUAACUCUAAUGCCCCUGUGUUUUCUGAAACAUCUCAGUCUAUUACAGAUAAUGUCCUUUCAUUAUCCAAGUCAUAUAGCCAGUUACUUUGGGUAUAUUUUAAAGUCUCCUCUUCUUCAUUCUGUUUUUAUCCCUGUAAGUCUCUUGUACCUCUCCCUUUUAUCUAUUGUCAUUGAUUCUGACCUUAUUUAGGACCCUCACUAAGUUUUGCUUUAAUGUAUUCAGACACUGUUUAACAAUUUACCCUAAAUUAUGUACUGAGGGUGAAAGAUAAUAAAGUGUCUUUCAUAACUGGUUCAAAAUUCUUCAACAUGCUUCCCUGUAAGAAUUGGGGUCUGUGUCCCCUCUUCUUAAAUUUAAGCUCCUUUACUGCUUCAUCAGUAGAGUAUAAAAGUGUCUCUGUGGUUGUCCUACUCCAGAGCUUAAGAAACUGGGAACUUCUACUUCUGUUUGAUGUUGAGAAAAGCCCUGUCACAUGGAGAGACCAUGACAAUUCUAAAGUCUCGUGUCUAUUGCAUCAACCCCAGACAUGUAAUUGAGAAAGCCUUUGAGACUCCCAUCCCAGGCUUCCAUCAAGAACCAUCCUGCUGAAGUUCCCAUCAUGGCUCAGUAGAAACAAAUCUGACUAGGAUCCAUGAAGACACAGGUUCGAUCCCUGGCCUUGCUCAGUGGGUUAAGGAUCUGGUGCUACUGUGAGCUGUGGUGUAGGUUGCAGAUAGAGCUCGGGUCCUGUGUUGCUGCGACUGUGGCUGUGGCAUAGACCAGUGCCUACAACUCCAAUUCGACCCCUAACCAUAAAUAACUGGAAUUGGUGACUAAAACUAUGGCCUUAUAAACAGUCUAGUAGAAAGUGAAAACGCAAAAUUUUAAAAAUUAAAUAGGAAUUUUUUCAUUCCUCAAAAUAAUCUUAGGAGAAAGCCCAUUACGUAGAUUAAUUGAUGGGUGGACAUUUGAGUAAGCAUAUUUUGACCACAUUGUUGGGGAGUGGGGUGCUGUUUUACUGGUCCUUCUGCAUUUUAGCUGGGAAGGAGUCCUUCUUGAGUCCCAUACACUGCUAAUUUUUUUUGGCCAUGCCUGCAGCAUAUGGAAGUUUCCAGGCUAAGGAUUUUAUCCAUGCCAUAGCAGCGACCAGGGCUGGUGUAGUGACAAUACCAGGUCCUUAACCUGCUGUGCCACAAAGGAACUCUCUAAUACUGUUUUUAAUACCAGUUACAUUAUCUUAUACUUUUUCCCCCUUACCCUUUUAGUUUUCAAAGAAAUCUACUCAGAGGAGCCAUUAAAGUAUCUGUUGUCUCUAGGUAUUUUAAUUCUCUCAGGCUAACAAUGAUGGACAGGAGAAGGAGGUUGGGAAUUCUAGGAAUGAAACCAGGUGCCACUGCAUGGAGGCCAGAUACCCGUGGAAUUUCUUCAGGCUGUGUUAUAUCUGACAGUGGGAGAAUGAGACAUUUUUCAGGAAUCUUCAAAAUACUCCAAUAUUGAUUUCAAAUAAAUUUGAGGAAAUAUUUGUCCACCUAAAUACAACUGUCUUCUAUGAUAUUGCCAUUUCCAGAAAAAAGGAGAUUUGUGUAGUAAAAAACAGAAAACAGUAUUAUGUAUUCAUAUGUAACUUCAUAAUGCUGUGACAGAAAUAUCUUAUUUUGGUCUAAUUUCUCUCUCCCAUCCAGACUGCCUCGCUGAUUUAAAAAAAAAUCACAGCACAUAUCAAAUUAACAACUAAUUCUCCUGGUGUGUUAAACAACAGAAGAUUUGUUUUUC